This 70-nucleotide transfer RNA is filed under the name Ecnomus latus. RNAcentral describes it as "tRNA-Asn". The record is from RNAcentral. Lineage: Eukaryota; Metazoa; Arthropoda; Insecta; Trichoptera; Ecnomidae.
UUAACUGAAACCAAUUAUUGAGGUAUAUUACUGUUAAUAAUAUUAAAGAAAUUAAACUUUUCCAGUUGAA